RNAcentral lists this ribosomal RNA (376 nucleotides) under uncultured microorganism. RNAcentral's name for it is "bacterial SSU rRNA". It matches the Rfam family "Archaeal small subunit ribosomal RNA", at positions 330 to 713 of the family's 1478-position model. The record is from RNAcentral.
GCGCAGCAGGCGCGAAACUUUACAAUGUGCGAAAGCACGAUAAGGGAACUCUGAGUGCCUCCUAAGGAGGCUGUUCAGGUGUCUAAAAGCACCUGAAGGAAGGGCUGGGUAAGACCGGUGCCAGCCGCCGCGGUAACACCGGCAGCCCAAGUGGUAGCCACGUUUAUUGGGUCUAAAGCGUCCGUAGCCGGCUGGGUAAGCUCCUUGGGAAAUUUGGCUGCUUAACAGUCAAGCUUUCAGGGAAUACUGCCCGGCUUGGGACCGGGAGAGGUCAGAGGUACUCCAGGGGUAGGGGUGAAAUCCAUUAAUCCUUGGGGGACCACCGGUAGCGAAGGCGUCUGACCAGACCGGGUCCGACGGUGAGGGACGAAGGCUA